This 253-nucleotide ribosomal RNA is filed under the name uncultured bacterium. RNAcentral describes it as "partial 16S ribosomal RNA". It matches the Rfam family "Bacterial small subunit ribosomal RNA", at positions 524 to 776 of the family's 1533-position model. The record is from RNAcentral.
UACAGAGGGUGCGAGCGUUGUCCGGAAUCACUGGGCGUAAAGGGCGCGUAGGCGGCCUGGUAAGCGUGCGGUGAAAGCCCGGGGCUCAACCCCGGGUCGGCCGUGCGAACUGCGAGGCUGGAGCACUGUAGAGGCAGGUGGAAUUCCGGGUGUAGCGGUGGAAUGCGUAGAGAUCCGGAAGAACACCGGUGGUGAAGGCGGCCUGCUGGGCAGUGGCUGACGCUGAGGCGCGACAGCGUGGGGAGCAAACAGG